GAUCUCUUAGCUCAGUUGGUUAGAGCAUUCGGCUGUUAACCGGAAGGUCGUAGGUUCGAAUCCUACAGAGAUCG
This 74-nucleotide transfer RNA is filed under the name Chlamydiota bacterium. RNAcentral's name for it is "Chlamydiae bacterium (freshwater metagenome) tRNA-Asn". It matches the Rfam family "tRNA". Rfam says of the family: Transfer RNA (tRNA) molecules are approximately 80 nucleotides in length. Their secondary structure includes four short double-helical elements and three loops (D, anti-codon, and T loops). Further hydrogen bonds mediate the characteristic L-shaped molecular structure. tRNAs have two regions of fundamental functional importance: the anti-codon, which is responsible for specific mRNA codon recognition, and the 3' end, to which the tRNAs corresponding amino acid is attached (by aminoacyl-tRNA synthetases). tRNAs cope with the degeneracy of the genetic code in two manners: having more than one tRNA (with a specific anti-codon) for a particular amino acid; and 'wobble' base-pairing, i.e. permitting non-standard base-pairing at the 3rd anti-codon position. The record is from RNAcentral. Lineage: Bacteria; Pseudomonadati; Chlamydiota.